RNAcentral lists this ribosomal RNA (346 nucleotides) under uncultured bacterium. RNAcentral describes it as "partial 16S ribosomal RNA". It matches the Rfam family "Bacterial small subunit ribosomal RNA", at positions 338 to 681 of the family's 1533-position model. The record is from RNAcentral.
CCUACGGGCGACAGCAGUGAGGAAUAUUGGUCAAUGGCCGGAAGGCUGAACCAGCCAUGCCGCGUGAAGGGCAGGGCCCUAUGGGCGUUAAACUUCUUUUGUGCGGGAGCAAGAAUGGUCACGUGUGGCCAGACGAGAGUACCGUACGAAUAAGCAGCGGCUAACUCCGUGCCAGCAGCCGCGGUAAUACGGGGGAUGCAAGCGUUAUCCGGAUUUAUUGGGGUUAAAGGGUGCGUAGGCUGUGAGGUAAGUCAGCGGUGAAAUGCCCCCGCUCAACGGGGUGAAGUGCCAUUGAUACUGCCUUGCUGUACUGCGGAUGCCGUGGGAGGAAUGUGUGGUGUAGCGG